This is a long non-coding RNA of Capsicum annuum, 856 nucleotides long. RefSeq lists it as uncharacterized. The transcript has 2 exons. The record is from RefSeq and is a predicted model, not a curated record. NCBI's taxonomy places the organism in Eukaryota, Viridiplantae, Streptophyta, Magnoliopsida, Solanales, Solanaceae.
AUGACUAAAAAUAUCAAAAAAAGAAAUGAAGAUCAAGUCCCAGUUCAUGUCAUGGCAUGCGCGGCACGCCCUCGCAUGAGGGACUUGGAGUUGUGGAAGAGGGGCUCAGGUGGGGGCAGAAAAUUUAGCCCCAUGUGCCGCAUGCUCAUCACGAGGAAACUGGGACUGACAUCGAAACUCGUGAUGGCGUCACUUCGCGAGGAAAGGAGAAAGUCAGGCAAAGGUGAUGGCAUGUGAUAGGCUCACACCGGAUACCCUAAAUAUAAGUUAAAACUAGGGGAGAGAGAAAUGAAUUUUGAAGAGGUUUUUGAGGAGACUGUGCAAGCCAUUAUCACUUCAAAGGUGAGGUGAGGUAUUAUGAUGGUUUUGAGUAUAUUCCACUCAUUUAUUACAAUUUAUGACAUCAAAUCCCAUGGAAUCCACAUAAAUUUCAAGAUUGACCAAGAAUCCCGACAAUCUUCCGAGUAAAGAUUUUGACUCAAAGAGCUUCAUUCCAACUUCAUUGGAAGGAGUCGAUGACAGUCGUAUGGGCAAUUUAUUGGUUGUGUUCCGGCAAAUUCAGGAGCUCCCAAAGUAGAUGGCACGAGCUAAAUGCCUUUGCUUUCCAGUCAUUUUUUAUUAGCCACACCUAAGUCAUCAGCUGGUGCUGAUACAUUAUACAAUUCUUUUGUUGAGCCAAGGAAUGCCCCGUACCUUUAUUCUCUUAUUUACGUCUUUAGAGGUUCCAUGACACACCCACAAUGAGAGAUCUAGUUAUGGACAUGGGACUCUAUACCUUUUGUUUCUCAUGUUUGUAUGUUAUGCUUCCGCAUUUAUCAUUUUGCGGCUUAUAUCCAAACUUAUGCUUUUCAAUUCA